Molecule: ribosomal RNA, 524 nt
Filed under: uncultured bacterium
Lineage: Bacteria
Description: bacterial SSU rRNA
Rfam family: Bacterial small subunit ribosomal RNA
Source: RNAcentral
UGGGGAAUAUUGGACAAUGGGGGGAACCCUGAUCCAGCGACGCCGCGUGAGUGAAGAAGUAUUCCGGUAUGUAAAGCUCUAUCAGCAGGGAAGAAAAUGACGGUACCUGACUAAGAAGCCCCGGCUAACUACGUGCCAGCAGCCGCGGUAAUACGUAGGGGGCAAGCGUUAUCCGGAUUUACUGGGUGUAAAGGGAGCGCAGACGGCUUGGCAAGUCUGAAGUGAAAGCCCGGGGCUUAACCCCGGGACUGCUUUGGAAACUGUGAAGCUAGAGUGUCGGAGAGGUAAGUGGAAUUCCCAGUGUAGCGGUGAAAUGCGUAGAUAUUGGGAGGAACACCGGUGGCGAAGGCGGCUUACUGGACGAUAACUGACGUUGAGGCUCGAAGGCGUGGGGAGCAAACAGGAUUAGAUACCCUGGUAGUCCACGCGGUAAACGAUGAAUACUAGGUGUCGGGGGACAUAGUCUUUCGGUGCCGCCGCUAACGCAUUAAGUAUUCCACCUGGGGAGUACGUUCGCAAGAAUG